RNAcentral lists this ribosomal RNA (915 nucleotides) under uncultured archaeon. RNAcentral's name for it is "bacterial SSU rRNA". It matches the Rfam family "Archaeal small subunit ribosomal RNA", at positions 1 to 922 of the family's 1478-position model. The record is from RNAcentral.
UUCCGGUUGAUCCUGCCGGAGGUCACUGCUAUUGGGAUUCGACUAAGCCAUGCGAGUCGAGAGGGUUCGGCCCUCGGCAAACGGCUCAGUAACACGCGGAUAAUCUGCCCUUAGGUGGAGGAUAACCUCGGGAAACUGAGAAUAAUACUCCAUAGAUCUAGGAUGCUGGAAUGCACUUAGAUUGAAAGUUCCGGCGCCUAAGGAUGAGUCUGCGGACUAUCAGGUAGUAGUCAGGGUAAAGGCCUGACUAGCCUACGACGGAUACGGGUUGUGAGAGCAAUAACCCGGAGACGAUAUCUGAGACACGAUAUCGGGCCCUACGGGGCGCAGCAGGCGCGAAACCUUCACAAUGUGCGAAAGCGCGAUGAGGGGAUCCCAAGUGCUUGCUCCUAAGAGUAAGCUGUUUUUAUGUCUAAAACGCAUAGAGAGUAAGGGCUGGGUAAGACGGGUGCCAGCCGCCGCGGUAAUACCUGCAGCUCAAGUGGUGAUCAUUAUUAUUGGGCCUAAAACAUUCGUAGCCGGUUUGGUAAAUGCCUGGGUAAAUCGUGUAGCUUAACUAUACGAAUUCCGGGUAGACUGCCAAACUUGAGACCGGGAGAAGCUAGAGGUACUCCUUGGGUAGAGGUGAAAUUCUGUAAUCCUAGGGGGACCACCAGUGGCGAAGGCGUCUAGCUAGAACGGGUUUGACGGUGAGGAAUGAAGCCCUGGGGCGCAAACCGGAUUAGAUACCCGGGUAGUCCAGGGUGUAAACGCUGCUUGCUUGAUGUUAGUUGGGCUCCGAGCCCAAUUAGUGUCGGAGAGAAGUUGUUAAGCAAGCUGCCUGGGAAGUACGAUCGCAAGGCUGAAACUUAAAGGAAUUGGCGGGGGAGCACAGCAACGGGUGGAGCGUGCGGUUUAAUUGGACUCAACGCCGGA